GGCGUAGCGUAGCGGUUUAACGCGCCGGCCUGUCACGCCGGAGAGCGCGGGUUCAAAUCCCGUCGUCCU
Molecule: transfer RNA, 69 nt
Filed under: bovine gut metagenome
Rfam family: tRNA
About the family: Transfer RNA (tRNA) molecules are approximately 80 nucleotides in length. Their secondary structure includes four short double-helical elements and three loops (D, anti-codon, and T loops).
Source: RNAcentral